Molecule: non-coding RNA, 91 nt
Organism: Cordylochernes scorpioides
Lineage: Eukaryota; Metazoa; Arthropoda; Arachnida; Pseudoscorpiones; Chernetidae
Source: the annotation of a GenBank genome assembly
UAUAAAAUAGUUUUAACACUAGUGGUCAUGGCAUCUGCCCGGUAAGCGGAAGGUCAUGGGUUCGAUUCCCAUCCCUUGACACUUUUUUUAU